RNAcentral lists this non-coding RNA (24 nucleotides) under Rattus norvegicus (Norway rat). Lineage: Eukaryota; Metazoa; Chordata; Mammalia; Rodentia; Muridae. The record is from RNAcentral.
UAGAUGUUACCUCCUAGUGGUUUG